Molecule: ribosomal RNA, 131 nt
Filed under: uncultured bacterium
Lineage: Bacteria
Description: partial 23S ribosomal RNA
Rfam family: Bacterial large subunit ribosomal RNA
Source: RNAcentral
AUCAAGCGACUAAGUGCACAUGGUGGAUGCCUUGGCGAUCACAGGCGAUGAAGGACGUGGUAGCCUGCGAAAAGCUGCGGGGAGUUGGCAAACAAACUUUGAUCCGCAGAUGUCCGAAUGGGGAAACCCGG